This 483-nucleotide ribosomal RNA is filed under the name uncultured bacterium. RNAcentral describes it as "bacterial SSU rRNA". It matches the Rfam family "Bacterial small subunit ribosomal RNA", at positions 28 to 507 of the family's 1533-position model. The record is from RNAcentral.
GAUGAACGCUAGCGGAGGCUUAACACAUGCAAGUCGAGGGGCAUCACGGGUAGCAAUACUCUGGUGGCGACCGGCGCACGGGUGAGUAACGCGUAUGUAACCUGUCCUUAACAGGAGGAUAACCCGGAGAAAUUCGGACUAAUACUGCAUAAUAUUAUUCGUAGGCAUCUAUAAAUAAUUAAAGCUACGGCGGUAAAGGAGGGGCAUGCGUAACAUUAGCUAGUUGGGAGGGUAACGGCCUACCAAGGCAAUGAUGUUAGGGGACCUGAGAGGGUGACCCCCCACACUGGUACUGAGACACGGACCAGACUCCUACGGGAGGCAGCAGUGAGGAAUAUUGGUCAAUGGGCGGCAGCCUGAACCAGCCAUCCCGCGUGAAGGAAGAAUGCGCUAUGCGUUGUAAACUUCUUUUUCAGGGGGAUAAAAUAUUGUAUGUAUACGAUACUGAAGGUACCCUGAGAAUAAGCAUCGGCUAACUCCGUG